GACAUUCUAAAGACUUCUUGCCACAUCCAACUCUAUUUAAUUUCAGAUAUUUCUGCAGUCUGAGACAUCACACUCACCAAUGGAUUUAGAUAUCCAUUUCUGACCAAGUACUAAAGAAUUGAGGAGAUAACUCGCCCACAGUAUAAACAUAAAAGAUCUGCAUACCAACACUCCAACUUUCUUGCAACAAAGCAAACAUCAACUGCUGAUGGUGUCAUGUAGCAAAAAGCUUCAGACAGACUGACUCUAGGAGUAGAGCUCUACACAAAAUUAAAUAAAUUCUACCCACUACCUGUGAACUUGGAAGAGAACCUCAAACCCCCAAUCUCUUGACUUCAUUUCAGGCUACACUAGGACCAGGAAAAGAGCCCAGUGUUGACCACUUAGGCUGAGCCUUGAGUUCCUACAAGACUGCGGUCACGCUUUCCAGUUCCUAGCACAGACUAUGUCCCAAUCCCAGGUUCACAACUCCUAACUAAGUGCCCUCAAUGGAUUACUGCAGAAUGAGAUGCAAAAAACUGUCCUGGUCAAGAUUUGUGCCAGGAAUAAUUCAUGUAAGUCACCUG
Long non-coding RNA from Erinaceus europaeus (western European hedgehog), 566 nucleotides. RefSeq lists it as uncharacterized. NCBI's taxonomy places the organism in Eukaryota, Metazoa, Chordata, Mammalia, Eulipotyphla, Erinaceidae. The record is from RefSeq and is a predicted model, not a curated record. The transcript has 3 exons.